This 481-nucleotide long non-coding RNA is filed under the name Pelobates cultripes (western spadefoot toad). The record is from RNAcentral. Lineage: Eukaryota; Metazoa; Chordata; Amphibia; Anura; Pelobatidae.
AAAUAAUAUGAAUUGAUUUCCUUGGCAAAAGUUUUACUUAACUUAGAGGCAGUUCUGGCACUGGAAGGGUUAAUUCACCCAAUGGAGGAGAAAUUAGAAGCCUGAAUUAACAAGCUGAGAAUUAGGAGUGGAGAGUGAGGAAGUCCGUUUUACAAGCCGAGGUCUGGGAGAGGAGAAGGUAGAAUUCCGUUUUACAAGCCGAGGUCGAGAAGUGGAGAAGGUAGAAAUCCGUUUACUAGCCGAGGUCGAGAGAGGAGAAGGUAGAAAUCCGUUUUACAAGCCGAGGUCGAGAGAGGAGAAGGUAGAAAUCCGUUUUACAAGCCGAGGUCGAGAAGUGGAGCUGGUAGCAUCAAGGUAGAGCAGCUGAUCUCUAUGCAGCACCUGAGUGAAUAAUCCAGCCCUUUGAAUCUGGCGCGGUCUUCCUAAGUAUCAUGGAAGGACCGCGUCAGAAAAAUGGGCGGGGCUAAGCGCCGCGAACUCG